RNAcentral lists this ribosomal RNA (397 nucleotides) under uncultured bacterium. Its description in RNAcentral is "bacterial SSU rRNA". It matches the Rfam family "Bacterial small subunit ribosomal RNA", at positions 29 to 431 of the family's 1533-position model. The record is from RNAcentral.
AUUGAACGCUGGCGGCAUGCUUUACACAUGCAAGUCGAACGGUAACAGGCCUUCGGGUGCUGACGAGUGGCGAACGGGUGAGUAAUGCAUCGGAACGUGCCCAAUCGUGGGGGAUAACGUAGCGAAAGUUACGCUAAUACCGCAUAAGCCCUGAGGGGGAAAGCAGGGGAUCGCAAGACCUUGCGCGAAUGGAGCGGCCGAUGUCAGAUUAGCUAGUUGGUGGGGUAAAGGCCUACCAAGGCGACGAUCUGUAGCGGGUCUGAGAGGAUGAUCCGCCACACUGGGACUGAGACACGGCCCAGACUCCUACGGGAGGCAGCAGUGGGGAAUUUUGGACAAUGGGCGCAAGCCUGAUCCAGCCAUGCCGCGUGCGGGACGAAGGCCUCGGUUGUAACGC